UAUGUGAUCGUCUCUCGCAUAUCAAUAAGCGGAGGAAAAGAAACUAACAAGGAUUCCCCUAGUAACGGCGAGUGAAGCGGGAAGAGCUCAAAUUUGAAAUCUUAAAGGGUUUCCCUUUACGAAUUGUAGUUUAAAGAAGUGUUUUCUGUUGAGGUUUUGGUAAAAGUUCUUUGGAAUAGGACAUCAUAGAGGGUGAGAAUCCCGUAUUUGACCUUUACUUUCAACUUUGUGAUACACUUUCAAAGAGUCGGAUUGUUUGGGAAUGCAGUCCAAAAUGGGUGGUAAAUUUCAUCUAAAGCUAAAUAUUGGCGAGAGACCGAUAGCGAACAAGUACCGUGAGGGAAAGAUGAAAAGAACUUUGAAAAGAGAGUUAAACAGUACGUGAAAUUGUCAAAAGGGAAGCGUUUGACACCAGUGUUGUUUUUCUGAAAAUCAAUUAAAGAACUGUUUAUGCUAAGCUUGUUUAGACUUUAUCAGCUAACUGUUUAGUUUUGAGCUUUUCUUUAAUGCACUUUUCAGUUAACAAGUCAACAUCAAUUUCUUUUGCUGUAAAAAAGCUUGAGGAAGGUGGCUUGAGAUUCGUCUUAAGUGCUUAUAGCCUCUUGCCUAUGCAGUCGGAGAGAUUGAGGUCUGCAGCGUAGAUCCUUCGGGGCUAAAUGCAUUUGUGCUAAGUUAUAGCAUUUUAUAGACAACUUGUUGACUAUGAUUUGUCUUGUAGCUUACUCGCUUAUGUUAUUUUACCUACGCUUAGGAUGUUGACACACGCGCGUGCUCG
RNAcentral lists this ribosomal RNA (775 nucleotides) under uncultured Neocallimastigales. RNAcentral describes it as "partial large subunit ribosomal RNA". It matches the Rfam family "Eukaryotic large subunit ribosomal RNA", at positions 24 to 646 of the family's 3401-position model. Lineage: Eukaryota; Fungi; Neocallimastigomycota; Neocallimastigomycetes; Neocallimastigales. The record is from RNAcentral.